RNAcentral lists this ribosomal RNA (686 nucleotides) under uncultured beta proteobacterium. Its description in RNAcentral is "bacterial SSU rRNA". It matches the Rfam family "Bacterial small subunit ribosomal RNA", at positions 61 to 738 of the family's 1533-position model. The record is from RNAcentral. Lineage: Bacteria; Pseudomonadati; Pseudomonadota; Betaproteobacteria.
GUAACGCGGAGAGAAGCUUGCUUCUCUCCGGCGACGAGUGGCGAACGGGUGAGUAAUACAUCGGAACGUGUCCGCUCGUGGGGGACAACCAGCCGAAAGGUUGGCUAAUACCGCAUGAGUUCUACGGAAGAAAGAGGGGGACCCGCAAGGGCCUCUCGCGAGCGGAGCGGCCGAUGACUGAUUAGCCGGUUGGUGAGGUAACGGCUCACCAAAGCAACGAUCAGUAGCUGGUCUGAGAGGACGACCAGCCACACUGGGACUGAGACACGGCCCAGACUCCUACGGGAGGCAGCAGUGGGGAAUUUUGGACAAUGGGCGCAAGCCUGAUCCAGCUAUUCCGCGUGUGGGAUGAAGGCCCUCGGGUUGUAAACCACUUUUGUAGAGAACGAAAAGACACCUUCGAAUAAAGGGUGUUGCUGACGGUACUCUAAGAAUAAGCACCGGCUAACUACGUGCCAGCAGCCGCGGUAAUACGUAGGGUGCGAGCGUUAAUCGGAAUUACUGGGCGUAAAGGGUGCGCAGGCGGUUGAGUAAGACAGAUGUGAAAUCCCCGAGCUUAACUCGGGAAUGGCAUAUGUGACUGCUCGACUAGAGUGUGUCAGAGGGAGGUGGAAUUCCACGUGUAGCAGUGAAAUGCGUAGAUAUGUGGAAGAACACCGAUGGCGAAGGCAGCCUCCUGGGACAUA